Molecule: ribosomal RNA, 253 nt
Filed under: uncultured bacterium
Lineage: Bacteria
Description: partial 16S ribosomal RNA
Rfam family: Bacterial small subunit ribosomal RNA
Source: RNAcentral
UACGGAAGGGGCAAGCGUUGUUCGGAAUCAUUGGGCGUAAAGGGCGCGUAGGUGGUCUUGUAUGUCUACCGUGAAAGCGUACGGCUCAACCGUAUUUUGUCGGUAGAAACUGCAGGACUUGAGGCUGGGAGGGGCUGGCGGAAUUCCCUGUGUAGCGGUGAAAUGCGUAGAGAUGGGGGAGAACACUCGUGGCGAAGGCGGCCAGCUAGACCAGUUCUGACACUGAGGCGCGAUAGCGUGGGGAGCAAACAGG